Nelumbo nucifera (sacred lotus) is the source of this 1697-nucleotide non-coding RNA. The record is from RefSeq and is a predicted model, not a curated record. Lineage: Eukaryota; Viridiplantae; Streptophyta; Magnoliopsida; Proteales; Nelumbonaceae.
UGAAAAUACACCUAGACCUCAUGUAAAACUCUGCCUGAAACCCUAAACACUUCCUGAAACCCAAUCGAAACCUUUCGUGGAAUACAUCCCAGUGUCCUCUGUCGGAGAUUGCACCAAUGCCACACCGAAUGUAGAGGAAAGCGAUUGUCAUUGUCGUCAGAAAAGAUCUUGUUACCAUCGCCAGAGAAGAAGAUCGCCAUUGCCGGAGAAGAAGAUAUGUUUUCGCCGUUAGCAGAGAAGAAGGCCUCUUUUCAUUUUUGCAGGGGGAAAAAUCUUAUUUUUUCGUUGUCUCUACUCAACUGAAGGUUUAUUGUAUGUAAACCUUGGAGAAAUCUUGAACCGAACAUUAGAUUCUUCAAUUUUGAAGAUCUAGGGUUUCAUUUCAAUUUUCCUCUUAUGAUUGGGUUCUCUCUCUCUCUGGUUCGGUGACGAAGCAACCCAGGAGAGAAAAUGUUGAAGGCAAGAGCUAAAAGGGAAUAUUGACUUAAAUUGUUUUUCAGCAACUCUGAUAUUUGAGCUUCUUCAUCAGAUCUUUCUAAACCAUCUCUUUGGAUCAGUUUCACUGAAGACAAUGAUGCUGAAUGACAGAAUCCAGAACUUCAAUACUCUCCAGUCUGUUUUGAGGAAGGCAAUGGAAUAUCUCUCCACAGUUGCUCCAGAUAUGCCAUAUUCAGAGAGUUUGAUCACAAGUUCCAGGAGCUUGGUCUGGAGAAGGGGUGGGGUGACACUGUUGAACGUGUAUUAAAGAUGAUAAGUCUUCUGUUGGGGUUUCUUGAGGCACCUGAUCCAUGUACCCUAGAGAAAUUUCUUGGGAAAAUCCCUGUGGUCUUCAAUGUUGUUAUCCUUUCACCCCAUGGUUACUUUGCCAACAAUAAUGUGGAGGCGAAAUUGUGUAUAUUUUGGAUCAAGUUCGUGCCUUGGAGAGUGAGAUGCUUUAACGCAUAAAACAACAACGACUUGAUAUAAUCCCUCGACUCUUAGAAAACGGUGAUUCAUUGCUCUUAAAAUUAAGGGAUAACCCCUGAUAUUGAUCACUCACCGAAGUAGGAGCUUGCGACUGAAACUUGUGAGGGAGAAAUCCUGUGUGGCUGAAACUCGCAAGGAAGAAAUCCCUUGAUACUGUAAUUUAGAGCUUGGUGAUCAAGAAGAAGCUUGGUCAUCCCUUAUUGAAGGAGGUGAGAAAACAUAUAGAUUGAAAGAGGGUUAAAAGUGUCUGAAAUGUUAUUUUAAAAGUAAUAUGGGGAUUAAAUAAAAUUGCAAUGACAGAUUUUAAAUGAAAUGCUAAUGGAAAGAGUCUUUGUCUCACGGUCAUAAUAUAGAGGUCUUUAUCGCAAAACAAAGUACAGGGGUCUUUGUCACAGACCUAAUAGUACAGGAGCGGUCUUUGUAAUUUACCCUCUUUUUAAAACAUUUAUUGGCGCAAGUAUCCCUCUUUCUCAUCGUUUGGAUUAGGCUAAUAUCAAUUCCAUCCCACUAAGCCUUCUCUGCCCUCACCGGUAGUGUGUUGAUUACCUCCAGAUAGAAGGGUCCAAAGAGCUCAAAAAACCUUGCGACUGCUGGUUUCGGUAGUGGCGCCCGCUCCUUAGCCGAUAGCUGCUUCGUCGCCUGGAGCUGCGAAUAGAAGAUACGAAUUUUUAGCCUUUAAGGCAUAAUCACUCUUAGCGGCGUUGGUUCGUGGCACCAUUCAUUCCUACCUC